ACGGACGUCGUUCAGCGGUAGAACGCAGCUUUCAUACGGCUGAUGUCACAGGUUCGACUCCUGUCGUCCGUA
This 72-nucleotide transfer RNA is filed under the name Deinococcus sp. QL22. RNAcentral describes it as "tRNA-Met". It matches the Rfam family "tRNA". Rfam says of the family: Transfer RNA (tRNA) molecules are approximately 80 nucleotides in length. Their secondary structure includes four short double-helical elements and three loops (D, anti-codon, and T loops). The record is from RNAcentral. Lineage: Bacteria; Thermotogati; Deinococcota; Deinococci; Deinococcales; Deinococcaceae.